UACGUAGGGGGCGAGCGUUGUCCGGAUUUAUUGGGCGUAAAGAGCUCGUAGGCGGCUUGGCAAGUCGGAUGUGAAAACUCCAGGCUCAACCUGGAGCCGCCAUUCGAUACUGCUAUGGCUAGAGUCCGGUAGGGGAGUGUGGAAUUCCCGGUGUAGCGGUGAAAUGCGCAGAUAUCGGGAGGAACACCGAUGGCGAAGGCAGCACUCUGGGCCGGCACUGACGCUGAGGAGCGAAAGCGUGGGGAGCGAACAGG
RNAcentral lists this ribosomal RNA (254 nucleotides) under uncultured bacterium. RNAcentral's name for it is "partial 16S ribosomal RNA". It matches the Rfam family "Bacterial small subunit ribosomal RNA", at positions 524 to 776 of the family's 1533-position model. The record is from RNAcentral.